Molecule: long non-coding RNA, 3853 nt
Organism: Mus musculus (house mouse)
Lineage: Eukaryota; Metazoa; Chordata; Mammalia; Rodentia; Muridae
Product: predicted gene, 33262
Exons: 6
Source: RefSeq, a predicted model, not a curated record
GCGGGCCCAGGCUCAGCUAUUUUUGGGCUUGUUUCCAGGAAAAUAAUUUACUUUUCGUUGUGCGGUCUGUCAAGCUCAGUGGAGUGAUUUUUCCCUUCUUCUUCUUCUUCUUUUUUUUUUUUUUUUUCCAUGAGGCUGGACAAAUAAAUCCAGAACAAGCUGAGGAUUUAAAAGCCUUGCCUGCAGAGAUGGCCCGCGGCUGGGCUUAUCUGGUCCAUUAAAAUAAAGAGAAGAUCCCAGAUCUGCAUCCAGCUUGGUCGGCUAUGAUCCCCGGCAGUCAGGCGAUGAUAAUCAUGGCUCUGCUGACAUCACCUUAUGGGCUGCGGCUGCCCCUCAGGUGGUACACGGGAGACCUGGCCUAGGGGCACUGUAAUCCUGGUAGUCUGCAAGUGAAGGCUUGGGGAUCAGAAGUUCAAGGUUGUAGUUGGCUACACAGUAAGUUCGAGGCCAGCCCGGGCUAUAUGAGACCUUGUUGCAAUCAAUCGAUUGAUUUUUAAAAAGAAGAGACUAGCCUUUGAGGGCUUAAUUAAAGUUCCCUUCCUGACAUCAGAGACUCACACAGUCUGCAGCUGGAUGGAGCUGGAUUGAACUCAGAGAUGCUCUACAAACUCUGCUCCGUAUCCUCACCUGAGAAGCAAGAAGAACAAGUGGCCUCCUAUGAGUCUCAAUGUGAGGACAGUGGACACAGAGAGACUUAUCUAUGCGCCCAGUGCCUGGAAUGCAGAUACUGUGACUACUGCUUCAGCAGCCACUUUGGGCUGUGAGGCAGGCCUGAGUCUGGCAAUGGAAAGAAGCAGAAAGCUCCAGGGCCUUGGAGGCGCUUCUCUGGGCUUCCUUGAGGGGAGACACACUUACACUUGCAGCCAGCCCAGGAGGUGCAGGAUCCCAGCCCGUGAUACUUGCUGAGUCAUUGAUUGGUUCCAUGUGUGUGUCUUCUAAAACCAGAAGUCACUGUAGCAAAUCGCCUGGAAGAAACGACCCGAAGGAGAAGGAUUUAUUUCUUGCUCAGGGUUCAGAGGCUGCAGUCCUCUGUGGAGCAUCCAGGUGCAGGAAUUCACCUUGUGGAUGACAGAGUGUGAAGAAAGGUGGGCUGAAGAUGUGAUUUUUAAAGUCUCCAGGGCUGCGUGAUUACAGGCUUGGGGGAGAGCAGAGGAAGAGGAAGAGACAGAUACACAUCAAGGGACCAAACUCACCCAUGAAAAAUGGGGAUCACUGUGGAUUCUGCCUUUAGCUGACUGUGCUCUCUUGGAACUCCAGCCUGGAGAAGGAAGAGGACGGUUACAACGUUCCUCUCUGUAUACUGUCACCAAGAAGAGUGUUGGAGGCACGGAGCUCCUGACUGGCCUCUGGCUGAAUGACCACCUUUGGAGUACUAGGGUGGAUCUUGGGGGACAGUGGAGGACUCCAUAGCUUCUGGCUCUGCUCUAUCCCUGGCUGUCUAGCAGCUAUAACUAGAGUCAGAUAGGCCUGAAUCCAGUUACCUGUGCAACCCCCUCAGAAAGUACCUGUCUCUGAUUUAUCUGGCAAGGAUGAAUUUUCCUGUUCUUGAAUGCCACAUGGUGCGGCAGUGGCUUGGGCUCAACACACGUACGUCUCUUCGUUGGUCUUCUUCUCUGCCUGCAGACGGUGAGUGUGGCCUUCAGAUGAAGAUGUUGAACUCUCAGCUCCUCCUGCACCAUGCCUGCCUGAAUGCUGCCAUGCUCCUGCCUUGAUGAAAAUGGACUGAACCUCUGAACCAGAGAACGGUGGAGCAGUUGGCUGCACAGAGAGCUGCAGACAGCUCUUUGGCCCCGUCAAGCCUGUGGCUCACGUCCGUGGGACCCUUCUUAUCAUGUGCGUCCAUGAACACACAGGGUUCUGGGGCGGCGGCUGCUGUGACUGGAGCAGCUUCAGUUCCUUGCCCGGUACCCGGACUGCAGUCAGCUCCCUGGGAUGUAGACUGCAUGUGGUAGCUCCUGGCUGUGCAGGGCCAAGGCCUGUCUUUUCAUCGGCCUGCUAGAAAGUUCUAUUCGUGUAGGAUCAAGAAUAAGACUGGAGAAGUACCCUCGGGGGCAAAGGUAAGAUGGCUCAGUGUGUAAAGGCAGUUGCCACCAAGCCUGAUGACUUGAGUUCAAUCCCCAGGACCCACAGGACAGAAAGAGAGAACCUGUUAUGACACCCCCUCCCCCUCCCCCCCUUGCUACACACACACAUAUUAAAAUGCAAUGCAAAAAAUUUUUUUAAAAGAAGGUUUGACAACAGGUGUCAUUCUUCCUCCUAAGAACGCAGAGGCACUGGGGUAAGGACAAAAUGUCAACUAAUUAAUGUUUUGUUUGUCACCAUGGAAAGCUUGCCACGCUCCAGUCGCUCAGCGUCUUCUACCUCCAGUUGCAGCCGCUCAGCUAGUGAUUCAUCUCCUAAUGUUCUAAACAUUCCCAGCCCGGCUCCAGAGCCGCACAUCAUGUCUAAGUCCGAUUUGUCCCCCAGUCGCAGCCUUUCUGCUGGGGUGUGCAGGGCAGAUGGCUUUGAUCAGGGCCAAGGCUGUAUGCGUAAGGAAUUGCUAAUGUGUGUGCUGGCCCACAGCUCCAGCAGCAGCCAGAGCUUCAGGCUGAGACUGGGAAUCAGGACCCCCUUUCCGGGACCUGGAGUUCUGCUAUCCUGGAGAGGUAGCCGGAAAGGACCCUGGCGAAUGCCCAGGAGAACUCCAAAAUAGCCUGCUUCUUUGUGGUUUGUUGAGAUGUCUGUUGGUACAAGGCAAAGUAGGGAUGUGGCCAGCUCAGCUUCUGCAGGUACCCAGGGGAGGGGGGGGUCUUAGGAAUGGUGUUUGUGUGCGCACACACGCAUGCAUGUGUGUAUACCGGCUGUUGACUUUGUAUUUGGCACAGGCCACCACCUGCCUCUGCAGUUGAUCCUGCCCAGUGCUGAGCUGGGGAGUCAGAUGAUUGAGUUAUAGCUGCCGGGCUUCUUUCUGGAACCCUCAUAAUAAAGAUGAAUGAGCUGCCUGCUCCGAGUUAGGAACGCCUUCGGAACAGGGCUCUUUCCCUUUCUUAUGCACAUUAUGGAGAGAAAUUAUCUUAAUCUAAAAAAGAAAAAAAAAUCACAGAAAGUCUAAGAAAUGUGUGUGCCAGCCCUCCAAAGAGGGAGGGAGUCAGGCUGGGGGAGUGAAGGAAUGUUCUAGAACCUUUGGAGCUCUCUAGCUGUUGUGAGAACUUGGGGCUGGGGGUGGUCUUACCUUGUUCCCCUCCCCCAUGGUUUGAAGCUCUAGCCCCCACCCCCACCCCCACCUGGAGAUGGGGUAACUAAACAGGACAGAGGAAGUGAAGAUGGAACCCUGCUCCAUGGCACUGAAGAGGGGAGAGGGCCCCAAGCUCCGCUGCUAUCUAUGAACACAGUAAAGGCCUCUCAAGGAUUUGGGGAGGGGGGCCUGCCUUCUGUAGGCAAGACCCUCUAGAGCGCCCACAAUAGCCCAAGUGCCCCGUACCUGGGUUCACAGACAACACCGUGAUGUGGGGGCCAGUGUUUGUUACACAGCCUGAGCUGACUCCAGUACCCUCUGCCUCUGCGUGAAACAUGUGGAGGGCAUUUUGGGGGUGCCCCUUGGCAGGAGUCUGACAUUGGCCAAGGACAAGGAAGAAAGAAUCUGGUUUUAGGGUGGAACAAAGAAGUAGGCUCAGAUAGCUUGAUCAUCCUUAGAAACAGCGAUCACUGGAGUGAUCACGGGGCUGUGUGUUUAUUGUCUUGCUUGCUCCUUGACUAUUGUCUUGCUAGAUUCCUCAUUGUACUCCUCGCACUUAAUACUUCCAUGUAAUUAAAAUGGCAUAAAAAGCAGAUUGGGAAAAUUAAAUUUGCCUUCAGUCUCAGAAUUGACUGGGGU